This is a small nuclear RNA of Bison bison bison, 95 nucleotides long. The record is from Ensembl. NCBI's taxonomy places the organism in Eukaryota, Metazoa, Chordata, Mammalia, Artiodactyla, Bovidae.
GUGCUCUCUUCAUUAGGACAUCUGCUAAAAUGGGAACAACAUAGAGAAGAGCGGCCCCUGUGCAAGGAUAAAUUCAUAAAGUAUUUUAUAUUUUU